AUACGGAGGGUGCAAGCGUUACUCGGAAUCACUGGGCGUAAAGCGCGCGCAGGCGGGCUGAUAAGUUGGAUGUGAAAGCCUACGGCUCAACCGUAGAACUGCAUCCAAAACUGUCAGUCUAGAGUCUGGGAGGGGAAGAUGGAAUUAGUUGUGUAGGGGUAAAAUCCGUAGAGAUAACUAGGAAUACCAAAAGCGAAGGCGAUCUUCUGGAACAGCACUGACGCUGAGGCGCGAAAGCGUGGGGAGCAAACAGGAUUAGAAACCCGGGUAGUCC
This 274-nucleotide ribosomal RNA is filed under the name uncultured bacterium. RNAcentral describes it as "partial 16S ribosomal RNA". It matches the Rfam family "Bacterial small subunit ribosomal RNA", at positions 523 to 796 of the family's 1533-position model. The record is from RNAcentral.